GUCUGUCCUCCCAGUGUCCAACGUUGCCUCGCGGAGGCCGCCGUGCGGAGCAAAUGUCUAACGGAAAUCAGAGGUGGAAAAGAGGUUGGAGGAGCCUGCUCCGUUCCACUCGCUUUUACUGAUGCGCCCACCAGCAGCCACGCUUGGGGCUGGGGGCUUUGAGGACACGCACGUGAACUCAUCCUUAUGGAUUCAGAAGACAAAGAAUACAAGCAAGCAGGAGAAAGUCUAAGAAGAAAGUUCACCUGGUAUGUUCCACCAAAAAGAAAGAAAAAAAGCUGUAUGGUGAGUGUAUGUUGCAUUAUCAAAGGUAUUCCUGAUAGAAGAG
This is a long non-coding RNA of Rhinopithecus roxellana (golden snub-nosed monkey), 328 nucleotides long. RefSeq lists it as uncharacterized. Lineage: Eukaryota; Metazoa; Chordata; Mammalia; Primates; Cercopithecidae. The record is from RefSeq and is a predicted model, not a curated record. The transcript has 3 exons.